This 1327-nucleotide long non-coding RNA is filed under the name Phasianus colchicus (ring-necked pheasant). Its description in RNAcentral is "lncRNA (ENSPCLG00000017806.1)". Lineage: Eukaryota; Metazoa; Chordata; Aves; Galliformes; Phasianidae. The record is from RNAcentral.
GUGGGUGCCAAUUAACUGGGGGCGUCAAUUAACUGCGUAUCAAUUAAUUGGGAGUUAAUUAAGUGGAUGUCAAUUAAGCCGGUGUCAAUUAACUGGGGGUGUUAAUUAACGGGCCCUGAAUGAAUUGUCUAUCAAUUAAGAGCGUAUCAAUUAGCAAGGUGCCAAUUAAGUGCCAAUCAAUUAACGAGCUGUCAGUUAAUUGCAUGUCAAUUAGGUUAGUAGCAAUUUACUGGGUAUUAAUUAGUUGGAUAUCAAUUAACCGGGUGUCUAUUAAUUGGCUGUCAAUUAACUGCGAGUGUCAAUUAAGAGGCCAUCAAUUAACUGGAUGUCAUUAAUUGGCCAUCAAUCAGCCCAUUAAUUAGCGAUCAAUCACCCAACAAUUAAUUGGACGCCAAUUAAUUAAGCACCGACCAAUCGGACGCCCAUCAGCGGGAGCCGGCAAUUAAUCAAUUAACCAGAAAUCAAUCAACGUGGGCUAAUGAACGGGCCGCCAUCAACGAGAAGUUAAUUAACGCGACGUCAACCGACGGCUAUCGAUCAUUAAUGAGAUGUUAAUUAACGCGACGUCAAUCAGAGCCCGCCCACACGAGUGGCAAUUAGCGGGCUGUCAAUCAUGGGGCGCUAAUUAGCGAGAUGUCAAUCAAGGCGGGGGGGGGCAAUUAAGGGCACGGCAGUGGGGCCGCAAUUAACGGCGGGCGUUAAUGAGAGCUCCGGCUGUCAAUCAAUCCAGGCUGUCAAUCAAUCCAGACUGCCAAUCAAACAACGGUGUCAAUCAAACAGGGCUGUCAAUCAAACAGAACACGCCGGCAGGGCUGUCAAUCAAUCCAGGCUGGCAAUCAUCCCAGGCUGUCAAUCAAACGGGGCUGUCAAUCAUACUGAACUCCCUGUCAGGUCUGUCAAUCACACAAAGCUGUCAAUCAAUCCAGGCUGUCAAUCAAACGGGGCUGUCAAUCAAUCCAGACUGUCAAUCAAAUGGGGCUGUCGUUCACACAGAGCUGUCAAUCAAGGGUGGCUGACAAUCACACGUAUCAAUCAGACAAGGCUGUCAAUCAAAUGGUUCAGUCGAUCCGAUCGCUUUGUCAAUCAGGUGGAGCUGUCAAUCAAACAGGGCUGUCCAUGAAACCGAUCUGUCAAUCAGAUCCUUUUGUCAAUCUGACGGAGCUGUCAAUCAAAAGGGGCUGUCAAUCACACGGAGCUGUCAAUCACACGGAGCUGUCAAUCAAACGACACCCAAUCCCAGCCGUCAAUGGGAGCCGUCCGUCAGGCCGAGCUGUCAAUCAAACCCAGCAGCCAAUCAAACGCAGCUGUCAAUCAACGACCCGACACC